RNAcentral lists this ribosomal RNA (468 nucleotides) under uncultured bacterium. RNAcentral describes it as "partial 16S ribosomal RNA". It matches the Rfam family "Bacterial small subunit ribosomal RNA", at positions 28 to 507 of the family's 1533-position model. The record is from RNAcentral.
GACGAACGCUGGCGGCGUGCUUAACACAUGCAAGUCGAACGGAAAGGCCCUGCUUUUGUGGGGUGCUCGAGUGGCGAACGGGUGAGUAACACGUGAGUAACCUGCCCUUGACUUUGGGAUAACUUCAGGAAACUGGGGCUAAUACCGGAUAGGAGCUCCUGCUGCAUGGUGGGGGUUGGAAAGUUUCGGCGGUUGGGGAUGGACUCGCGGCUUAUCAGCUUGUUGGUGGGGUAGUGGCUUACCAAGGCUUUGACGGGUAGCCGGCCUGAGAGGGUGACCGGCCACCUUGGGCCUGCGAUACGGCCCAGACUCCUACGGGAGGCAGCAGUGGGGAAUAUUGCACAAUGGGCGGAAGCCUGAUGCAGCAACGCCGCGUGCGGGAUGACGGCCUUCGGGCUGUAAACCGCUUUCGCCUGUGACGAAGCGUGAGUGACGGUAAUGGGUAAAGAAGCACCGGCUAACUACGUG